CCCUUAGAUGCUCUGGGCCGCACGUGCGCUACACUGGUCGAUGCAACGAGUUUCUUUCCUUGGCCGACAGGCCUGGGCAAUCUUUGAACAUCGAUCGUGAUCGGGAUAGAUUCUUGUAAUUUUUGAUCUUAAACGAGGAAUUCCUAGUAAACGCAAGUCAUCAGCUUGCAUUGAUUACGUCCCUGCCCUUUGUACACACCGCCCGUCGCACCUACCGAUUGAAUGGUCCGGUGAAAUCUCCGGACUGGCGUGAGUCGGAGCAAUCUGACAAACACCGGAAAGUUGAUUAAACCUUACCAUUUAGAGGAAGGUGAAGUCGUAACA
RNAcentral lists this ribosomal RNA (324 nucleotides) under uncultured eukaryote. RNAcentral describes it as "partial 18S ribosomal RNA". It matches the Rfam family "Eukaryotic small subunit ribosomal RNA", at positions 1470 to 1796 of the family's 1831-position model. The record is from RNAcentral.